GUGCUCGCUUCGGCGGCACAUGUGCUAAAAUUGGAACGAUACAGAGAAGAUUAGCAUGGCCCCUGCACAAGGAUGACAUGCAU
Molecule: small nuclear RNA, 83 nt
Organism: Myotis lucifugus (little brown bat)
Lineage: Eukaryota; Metazoa; Chordata; Mammalia; Chiroptera; Vespertilionidae
Source: Ensembl